GAUGAACGCUGGCGGCGUGCCUAAUACAUGCAAGUCGAGCGAACGGACGAGAAGCUUGCUUCUCUGAUGUUAGCGGCGGACGGGUGAGUAACACGUGGAUAACCUACCUAUAAGACUGGGAUAACUUCGGGAAACCGGAGCUAAUACCGGAUAAUAUUUUGAACCGCAUGGUUCAAAAGUGAAAGACGGUCUUGCUGUCACUUAUAGAUGGAUCCGCGCUGCAUUAGAUAGUUGGUAAGGUAACGGCUUACCAAGGCAACGAUGCAUAGCCGACCUGAGAGACGGAUAGGCGACACGGGAACUGGGACAGCGUCAAGACUACUACGGUACGCCGCAGUAGGGUAUCUGCCGCAGUGGGCGAAAGCAUGACGGAGCAGCGCCGAGUGAGUGAUGGAGGUCUCCGGAUCGUAAAACUCUGCUAUUAGGGAAAAACAUAUGUCUAAGUAACUGAGCAGAGCUUGACGGUACCUAAUAAGGAAGCCACGGCUAACUACGUG
RNAcentral lists this ribosomal RNA (497 nucleotides) under uncultured bacterium. RNAcentral describes it as "partial 16S ribosomal RNA". It matches the Rfam family "Bacterial small subunit ribosomal RNA", at positions 28 to 507 of the family's 1533-position model. The record is from RNAcentral.